RNAcentral lists this ribosomal RNA (906 nucleotides) under uncultured Micrococcineae bacterium. RNAcentral's name for it is "bacterial SSU rRNA". It matches the Rfam family "Bacterial small subunit ribosomal RNA", at positions 8 to 927 of the family's 1533-position model. Lineage: Bacteria; Bacillati; Actinomycetota; Actinomycetes; Micrococcales. The record is from RNAcentral.
AGAGUUUGAUUCUGGCUCAGGACGAACGCUGGCGGCGUGCUUAACACAUGCAAGUCGAGCGAUGAAGUUUCUUCGGAAAUGGAUUAGCGGCGAACGGGUGAGGAACACGUGAAGAAUCUGCCCUCCACUUUGGGAUAACACAGGGAAACCUGUGCUAAUACCGAAUAUUGAAACAUAAGUGGUAUCACUGAGUUUUGAAAGAAUUUCGGUGGAGGAUGACUUCGCGGCCUAUCAGCUAGUUGGUGAGGUAAUGGCUCACCAAGGCAACGACGGGUAGCCGGCCUGAGAGGGCGACCGGCCACACUGGGACUGAGACACGGCCCAGACUCCUACGGGAGGCAGCAGUGGGGAAUAUUGGGCAAUGGAGGAAACUCUGACCCAGCGACGCCGCGUGCGGGAUGAAGGCCUUCGGGUUGUAAACCGCUUUCAGUAGGGAAGAAGCGAAAGUGACGGUACCUACAAAAGAAGCACCGGCUAACUAUGUGCCAGCAGCCGCGGUAAUACAUAGGGUGCAAGCGUUGUCCGGAAUUAUUGGGCGUAAAGAGCUCGUAGGUUGUUUGUUACGUCGGAUGUGAAAACCUGAGGCUCAACCUCAGGCCUGCAUUCGAUACGGGCAAACUAGAGUUUGGUAGGGGAGACUGGAAUUCCUGGUGUAGCGGUGGAAUGCGCAGAUAUCAGGAGGAACACCAAUGGCGAAGGCAGGUCUCUGGGCCAAUACUGACACUGAGGAGCGAAAGUCUGGGGAGCGAACAGGAUUAGAUACCCUGGUAGUCCAGACCGUAAACGGUGGGCACUAGUUGUGGGGACCUUCCACGGUCUCUGCGACGCAGCUAACGCAUUAAGUGCCCCGCCUGGGGAGUACGAUCGCAAGAUUAAAACUCAAAGGAAUUGACGGAAUCGAUUCCC